Molecule: transfer RNA, 77 nt
Filed under: Rhodopseudomonas sp. BR0C11
Lineage: Bacteria; Pseudomonadati; Pseudomonadota; Alphaproteobacteria; Hyphomicrobiales; Nitrobacteraceae
Description: tRNA-Glu
Rfam family: tRNA
About the family: Transfer RNA (tRNA) molecules are approximately 80 nucleotides in length. Their secondary structure includes four short double-helical elements and three loops (D, anti-codon, and T loops).
Source: RNAcentral
CCUGCCAUCGCCUGGUGAUAAGGGUGCCGGUCCUUCAAACCGGAACUUCGCGGGUUUGACUCCCGUUGGCAGGGCCA